This 961-nucleotide ribosomal RNA is filed under the name Oenococcus oeni. RNAcentral describes it as "bacterial LSU rRNA". It matches the Rfam family "Bacterial large subunit ribosomal RNA", at positions 1226 to 2203 of the family's 2925-position model. The record is from RNAcentral. Lineage: Bacteria; Bacillati; Bacillota; Bacilli; Lactobacillales; Lactobacillaceae.
UGGUAGGAUAGCGUAAUUAACGCGAUGAAGGAUGACCGUAAGGACAUGUUGGAGCGUUAACUAGUGAGAAUUCCGGUAUGAGUAGCGAAAGAUAGGUGAGAAUCCUAUCCACCGAAUGAGUAAGGUUUCCCCCGGAAGGCUCGUCCGCGGGGGGUUAGUCGGGACCUAAGGCGAGGCUGAAAAGCGUAGUCGAUGGACAACAGGUUGAUAUUCCUGUACCGAUAUUUAAUUGCCGAAGGAAGGACGCAGAAGGAUAACACAGGCCACUAUUGGAUGUGGUUUUAAACAGUUAGUCUUCAUAAGAGUCAAAUGCUUUUAUGUUUAAGGAUAAGCUGUGAAUGUACCAAGUUUACUUGGAAAUUGUGUGAUUUCACGCUGCUGAAAAAAGUUUCGUAGGAAGAAAAUAUUGCCCGUACCGCAAACCGACACAGGUACUCAAGUGGAGAACACUAAGGUGAGCGAGUGAACUAUUGUUAAGGAACUCUGCAAAAUGAGUCCGUAACUUCGGAAGAAGGACUGCUGGUUUUAUACCAGCCGCAGCAAAUAGGCCCAAACAACUGUUUAUCAAAAACACAGGUUUCUGCAAAAUCGUAAGAUGAAGUAUAGGGGCUGACGCCUGCCCAGUGCUGGAAGGUUAAAAGGAGGACUUAGCUUCGGCGAAGGUCUUAAUUGAAGCCCCAGUGAACGGCGGCCGUAACUAUAACGGUCCUAAGGUAGCGAAAUUCCUUGUCGGGUAAGUUCCGACCCGCAUGAAAGGCGUAAUGAUUUGGGCGCUGUCUCAACAAUAGACUCGGUGAAAUUUAAAUUCCAGUGAAGAUGCUGGGUACCCGCGACAGGACGGAAAGACCCCGUGGAGCUUUACUGUAGCUUGAUAUUGAAUGUUUGUGCUGCAUGUGCAGGAUAGGUAGGAGACUUUGAAGUCGGAACGCUAGUUUCGAUUGAGUCACCCUUGAGAUACUAC